This 70-nucleotide transfer RNA is filed under the name Trichuris sp. 2 ARS-2017. Its description in RNAcentral is "tRNA-Arg". The record is from RNAcentral. Lineage: Eukaryota; Metazoa; Nematoda; Enoplea; Trichinellida; Trichuridae.
AAACAAAAUAUUAAUUGAAAUCAUAUUCAAACUUAAUUUCGACUUAAGCUUAGGGUUAACCCAGUAUUUA